RNAcentral lists this ribosomal RNA (478 nucleotides) under uncultured bacterium. Its description in RNAcentral is "partial 16S ribosomal RNA". It matches the Rfam family "Bacterial small subunit ribosomal RNA", at positions 28 to 523 of the family's 1533-position model. The record is from RNAcentral.
GACGAACGCUGGCGGCGUGCUUAACACAUGCAAGUCGAACGGUAAGGCCCUUCGGGGUACACGAGUGGCGAACGGGUGAGUAACACGUGGGUGAUCUGCCCUGCACUUCGGGAUAAGCCUGGGAAACUGGGUCUAAUACCGGAUAGGACCCUGGGAUGCAUGUCCUGGGGUGGAAAGCUUUUGCGGUGUGGGAUGGGCCCGCGGCCUAUCAGCUUGUUGGUGGGGUGAUGGCCUACCAAGGCGCCGACGGGUAGCCGGCCUGGGAGGGUGACCGGCGACACUGGGCAUGAGAUACGGCCCAGCCUCCUACGGGAGGCAGCAGUGGGGAAUAUUGCACAAUGGGCGCAAGCCUGAUGCAGCGACGCCGCGUGAGGGAUGACGGCCUUCGGGUUGUAAACCUCUUUCAGCACCGACGAAGCGCAAGUGACGGUAGGUGCAGAAGAAGGACCGGCCAACUACGUGCCAGCCGCCGCCGUAA